GCCCGAAUUUGAUACAAAAACUAAUAGUAAGUUUUCAGAUAUCCAAGUAAAUAUAAAAGAAAUAAUAGAUAUUAUUCAGAUAUUAGAUCCAAACAAAGCAUCUGGUCCUGAUGUGAUCAGUCAUAAGAUGCUAAAGCUGUGUCCAGAAAAGGUAGCAGUUCCGCUCCAUAUUAUAUUUAAUAAAUCCUUAAGAGAGGGGAUAUACCCAACUAGCUGGAAGAUAGCAAAUCUGAUACCCAUUUUCAAAAAGGGAGAUUCAUCUCUUGCCAUCAAAUUAUAGACCGAUAUCCUUAAUUAGUUGUGUAGGAAAAGUUAUGGAAAGAGUUGUGUUUAAGCACUUAUACAAUC
RNAcentral lists this long non-coding RNA (348 nucleotides) under Mytilus galloprovincialis (Mediterranean mussel). The record is from RNAcentral. Lineage: Eukaryota; Metazoa; Mollusca; Bivalvia; Mytilida; Mytilidae.